RNAcentral lists this long non-coding RNA (277 nucleotides) under Rattus norvegicus (Norway rat). RNAcentral describes it as "long non-coding RNA NONRATT021385". Lineage: Eukaryota; Metazoa; Chordata; Mammalia; Rodentia; Muridae. The record is from RNAcentral.
GCUACAUCAGGUUGCAGCAGCAAAGAGCCAUCCUCUAUAAGCGGCUCAAAGUAUCUCCUGCUAUAAAUCAGUUUACCCAGGCCCUGGAUAAGCAAACAGCUACUCAGCUGCUUAAGCUCGCCCACAAGUACAGGCCAGAGACAAAGCAGGAGAAGAAGCAAAGGCUGCUGGCCCAUGCUGGGAAGAAAGCUGCUGGCAAAGGGGACGUCCCAACUAAGAGACCACCUGUCCUCCGAUCAGGGGUCAAUAUAGUCACCACCUUGGUGGAGAACAAGAA